CCUCCAGCGUGACCUGUGACAGUCAGUUGUCCAAUGAGAGACGAAGAUGUUGGGACACGCCGUAACACUUCUCCGUCUGCUACAAGCGUGAGGACGGUGUGGCUCGUAACGUGGAGCUGAGGAGAGGAAAAUGGAAAGGAAAAAUGAAAAGAAUGAAGACAAAGGCAAAGGGGGAAAUAAACUUUCACUGCCUGACAAACCAGACGCUUUAGUACAAGACGAAAGAGUACCGAAUUUCAGCCUUCUGCCCAAGACUGUGAAGCGAAGAGUUUAUGCCCUUAAGAGACUCCAGCUCCAGAGUGCCAACAUGGAGGCAAAGUUCUACGAGGAAGUCCAUGAGCUGGAGAGAAAGUACGCCGCACUCUACAAGCCCAUCUUUGACAAGAGACGAGUGAUUGUGACCGGUGCCGUUGAACCCACAGAUGAGGAAUGCGAGUGGCAAAGUGACAGAGAGGACGAGGAGCUGGCUGAGGAUUUGCAGAAGAAAGCCGCUCUGGAGGAGAAGCAGGCGGAUUCAGCCAGUGCCGUCGAUCCGAAAGGUAUCCCAGAAUUCUGGUUAACCAUCUUUAAACACGUGGAUAUACUGAGUGAAAUGCUGCAGGAGCACGAUGAGCCAAUCCUGAAACACUUGCAGGACAUCACUGUGAAAUUUUCUGAACCUGGACAGCCAAUGAGUUUCACGUUAGAGUUCCGCUUUGAGCACAACAGCUACUUCAGUAACACUGUCCUCACUAAAGUCUACAAGAUGAAGUCAGAGCCAGACGCAGCCGAUCCCUUCUCUUUUGAGGGCCCGGAGAUCGUGGACUGUGAAGGUUGUAAAAUCGAUUGGCAUAAAGGUAAAGACGUGACAGUCAAGGUCAUCAAAAAGAAACAGAAGCACAAAGGAAGAGGAACCAUCCGGACGGUCAGCAAAGAGAUUUCACAGGACUCUUUCUUCAACUUCUUCAACCCUGUUAAAGCAACACCUGAUGGAGUGGAUGAAGAUUUGGACUUCACUCUAGCUACAGAUUUUGAGACGGGACACUUCUUCAGAGAGAGGAUCAUCCCCAGAGCAGUGCUUUAUUUCACAGGAGAAGCCUUGGAGGACGACGAGAGUUUUGAAGAGGAGGAUCUUGAAGAGGAGGAGUUAGAAAAGAUAAGCAUGUCUUGUUCAGGACCUGGAUGAGGAAGGUGAAGAAGAGGAUGAGGGAGAUGUCGGCCCCAUGGCUUAAUUCAUUUCUCACUUCAUGCAUUUGUAGACGGACCCUCCUCCUGAAGAGUGUAAACAGCAGUAAGAAUGGUCAACGGGCAGUCACGGCACAACUCGGCUGCCUGUCAGACGAUAAAAGUGACAACAAGGCCUAACCUCCUCAUGGACUCUGAACUAAUGCAAUAGAAACCAAACGCUGUUUAGAAAACGAUGCAUGUUCUACUGUUUACUUUGAAAGAGAUGACCUCUGCUCUCCAGUUUAGUGUUCUUAUUUCUUCAUGUGAUACAUAGCCUCAGUUCUCCGCAAUAUGGGAUUAACAGAUAAAAACGAUUUCUUUUGGGCUGAGGCAAUGUUUCUUGUCAAAAUGUUUGCCUGUAGCUGGUGUGUAAAUGCAAGCUAGCGAAGAUGCCACGUGUUUUGAAUUCCUUGUGUCCAUGCUCAACCUUUGCCAGUUUUGCAGUAGAGCUGAAUCUUGGACACAGCCCAGGUCAUAUGAACUCGCAGCCGUUGUCCACAGUAGCGUCACUCAGGGUUUUUAUGCCAACAAAAUCAUGAUCAUCUAAAGUAGAUGACUGACACAACUGAUUCUUUUUGGUUUUGCUGUUACGAAAUAUUUACAAAGGUGUCAGCGGGUUUUUGUAAAAGUGGACGUGGCUGGUUCUACUCACUGGUAGCCAAACAAUGUGAAUUGUGGUAAAGGAGUAGCUAUGAUUUGUCACCAGGGUUGGGCUUCAUCAAAUUCCCAUUCCUGCGUGUGACGUGUUGCCAUGCUGUGAACUCCGUAUUUAAUUUGGUGUUAAGUUGCUUGCAUUCAUGCAUAGAAUUGAUGAAAUUACAGUAUUGAGAAUGUUAACAAGCAGAUACUAUAGCCAUUGCAGGUCUACUCUCCGUAUUAACUGUGUGCAAGCCAUAGCCUUAUCUGAAACUUCUUGGUUCGUAAUGCAGCAUUGUUUCCAUUUUGUACAAAAUAGACAAAAUAUUCUAUUAAAUGUUGUGCGACACGA
This is an RNA transcript of Triplophysa rosa, 2194 nucleotides long. It is a transcript of the gene named nucleosome assembly protein 1-like 4a, with no coding region annotated. The record is from RefSeq and is a predicted model, not a curated record. NCBI's taxonomy places the organism in Eukaryota, Metazoa, Chordata, Actinopteri, Cypriniformes, Nemacheilidae. The transcript is spliced from 15 exons.